AUAUAUCAACCUCUUCAGCUUUUGCUUAUUGAGUGUUGGAUGUGGGGGUCUUUUGCUGGUCUUUUAAAAGAGAUCAGCUCCCCUAAAAUGUAUUAGCAGAACAAUUUGUUGAUCGUUCAUUGGUGUGAUAAUUAUCUACGCUAUUGACGUGAAGCAGUUCAGCUUCUAACUGUCCAUUGACUUGGACAAUUUUUCAUUA
This 199-nucleotide unclassified non-coding RNA is filed under the name Cortinarius anomalus. RNAcentral describes it as "partial internal transcribed spacer 2". RNAcentral also lists the same sequence under 1 other name. The record is from RNAcentral. Lineage: Eukaryota; Fungi; Basidiomycota; Agaricomycetes; Agaricales; Cortinariaceae.